GCUGGCGUCACCAGGACAACGGGCGUUGCCGGCGCCGUGUGACUCCGGGCUGCGGGCGCGCUCGCGGCUCUUCGGCCAUGGUUUUCUCAAAUAACGAUGAAGGCCUUAUUAACAAAAAGUUACCCAAAGAACUUCUCUUAAGAAUGCUGUUCAGCUUGUUGUUAAAUUUUACUUGGUCUAAUCCAGAAUGUACUAAGUAUGUACAUAGCAUUGGUCUGGAUUCUUUUUGUAAUGUGAAUAUUUUCCUUCUUGGAUAUAGUAACUUUGUGCCGAUGUGCACAAAUUUCCAAGGCCUGGAACAUUUUAGCCCUGGAUGGAAGCAACUGGCAAAGAAUAGACCUUUUUAACUUUCAGACAGAUGUGGAGGGUCGAGUCGUGGAAAAUAUCUCCAAGCGAUGCGGUGGGUUCCUGAGGAAGCUCAGCCUGCGGGGUUGCAUCGGUGUUGGGGACUCCUCCUUGAAGACCUUUGCACAGAACUGCCGCAACAUUGAACAUUUAAACCUCAAUGGUUGCACCAAAAUCACUGACAGCACGUGUUAUAGCCUUAGCAGAUUCUGUUCCAAGCUGAAACAUCUGGAUCUGACUUCCUGUGUGUCUAUUACAAACAGCUCCUUGAAAGGGAUCAGUGAGGGCUGCCGAAACCUGGAAUACCUGAACCUGUCGUGGUGUGACCAGAUCACGAAGGACGGCAUCGAGGCGCUGGUGCGAGGUUGUCGCGGCCUGAAAGCCCUGCUCCUGAGGGGCUGCACGCAGUUAGAAGACGAAGCCCUGAAGCACAUUCAGAAUUACUGCCACGAGCUCGUGAGCCUCAACCUACAGUCCUGCUCGCGCGUGACGGAUGAAGGAGUCGUGCACAUUUGCCGCGGCUGCCAUCGGCUGCAGGCCCUGUGCCUCUCGGGCUGCAGCCACCUCACGGACGCCUCCCUCACAGCCCUGGCUCUCAACUGCCCGCGACUCCAGAUUUUGGAGGCUGCUCGGUGUUCCCAUUUGACUGAUGCAGGCUUUACACUUCUAGCUCGGAAUUGCCACGAUCUGGAGAAGAUGGAUCUUGAAGAAUGCGUCCUGAUAACCGACAGCACUCUCAUCCAGCUCUCCGUCCACUGUCCCAAGCUGCAAGCCCUGAGUCUGUCCCACUGUGAGCUCAUCACAGAUGAUGGGAUCCUGCACCUGAGCAACAGCACCUGCGGCCACGAGAGGCUGCGGGUCCUAGAACUAGACAACUGUCUCCUCAUCACCGACGUGGCCCUGGAGCACCUGGAGAACUGCCGCGGCCUGGAGCGCCUGGAGCUGUACGACUGCCAGCAGGUCACCCGCGCGGGCAUCAAGCGGAUGCGGGCUCAGCUCCCUCACGUCAAAGUCCACGCCUACUUUGCUCCCGUCACCCCCCCGACAGCAGUGGGAGGAAGCGGACAGCGACUGUGCAGGUGCUGUGUCAUUCUCUGACGGCAGCGGCCGAGCCCAAGGCGCGAGGUGUCCCCUCCUCCAGAGAAGACCCAGGUCUUCCCGACCUGCCCCACCUUCGCCCAGAUCUCUUGGUUCUCCAUUGGGAAAGGCACAUUCAGGUAAAAGACUCCGGUAGGGACCGCAGUAACUCCGGUGAGAGUUUUCACCUUUAUUCUGCUACGAGGCAACCACGUCACAGCCCGGAGUCUGGUGGCACGAGGCAAGAGCGGUAGGCCUCGGGGUGGCUGGGCCACACGGGAGAGGUGGGGGCCUUCUUAGGAAGUCCCGCCCUUGGCUUUGUCGGCGCUCCUCAGACCGACCAUCAGUGUUAGCACAAAUUGAGCAGAAGAAAUAAGCUGUUGAUCUUCUAGCUGAUACUUAAGCCAGCGGCCUACUUUAACUCACACUGAUUCCAUUUUGACGAGCGGGACUUUUCCACUUGUAAGACUAAAUAGCAACUUUCUCAAAGUGACUGUACUGCAAAUCCACGAUGCCUGCUGGUUUUGUAUGUAGAGCCUUGGGUGGGAGGCAAGUUAGCCGGUUUCCACGAGACACCAAAGAAAUGAGGACUCUGAACUGGGUGGGGCAGGGUCUUCACCCUUCUGUGUCCGUCAGCUUGUCACACACACUUUUGGGAACCGAGAGCUAAACACACACGGCUCGGAGGUCGUGUCGCUGCCUGACCAGACAGGGGCUGUGGCCCGUGCCGUGGCACGGAGUGCGUUUUCGUUAUAGGAGAAGAGCUAAUCACGCCAUCUCUCGCAAGACCUGGGGGACCUUAAAGAAACAGAACGACGGCUUAAGUUAUCUACAAUAUAAUCAAUUAAAAAUAAUGAAUGGA
Lynx canadensis (Canada lynx) is the source of this 2284-nucleotide RNA transcript. It is a transcript of the gene named F-box and leucine rich repeat protein 2, with no coding region annotated. NCBI's taxonomy places the organism in Eukaryota, Metazoa, Chordata, Mammalia, Carnivora, Felidae. The record is from RefSeq and is a predicted model, not a curated record. The transcript has 16 exons.